Molecule: ribosomal RNA, 497 nt
Filed under: uncultured bacterium
Lineage: Bacteria
Description: partial 16S ribosomal RNA
Rfam family: Bacterial small subunit ribosomal RNA
Source: RNAcentral
GAUGAACGCUGGCGGCGUGCCUAAUACAUGCAAGUCGAGCGAACAGACGAGGAGCUUGCUCCUCUGACGUUAGCGGCGGACGGGUGAGUAACACGUGGAUAACCUACCUAUAAGACUGGGAUAACUUCGGGAAACCGGAGCUAAUACCGGAUAAUAUAUUGAACCGCAUGGUUCAAUAGUGAAAGACGGUUUUGCUGUCACUUAUAGAUGGAUCCGCGCCGCAUUAGCUAGUUGGUAAGGUAACAGCUUACCAAGGCAACGAUACGUAGCCGACCUGAGAGGGUGAUCGGCCACACUGGAACUGAGACACGGUCCAGACUCCUACGGGAGGCAGCAGUAGGGAAUCUUCCGCAAUGGGCGAAAGCCUGACGGAGCAACGCCGCGUGAGUGAUGAAGGUCUUCGGAUCGUAAAACUCUGUUAUUAGGGAAGAACAAAUGUGUAAGUAACUAUGCACGUCUUGACGGUACCUAAUCAGAAAGCCACGGCUAACUACGUG